Molecule: ribosomal RNA, 252 nt
Filed under: uncultured soil bacterium
Lineage: Bacteria
Description: partial 16S ribosomal RNA
Rfam family: Bacterial small subunit ribosomal RNA
Source: RNAcentral
AGGACGAACGCUGGCGGCGUGCUUAACACAUGCAAGUCAAGGGGGCCCAGCAAUGGGCAACCGGCGAACGGGUGCGUAACACGUGAGCAACCUACCGAAAUGUGGGGGAUAGCCGGCCUAACGGCCGAGUAAUACCGCAUACGCUCUCGAUGAGGCAUUUCAUUGAGAGGAAACCUACGGGACAUUUCGAGGGGCUCGCGGCCUAUCAGCUAGUCGGCGAGGUAACGGCUCACCAAGGCAACGACGGGUAGC